This 422-nucleotide ribosomal RNA is filed under the name uncultured bacterium. Its description in RNAcentral is "bacterial SSU rRNA". It matches the Rfam family "Bacterial small subunit ribosomal RNA", at positions 356 to 773 of the family's 1533-position model. The record is from RNAcentral.
UAAGAAUCUUGCGCAAUGGGAGCAAUCCUGACGCAGCGACGCCGCGUGAAUGAUGAAGGCCUUCGGGUUGUAAAGUUCGAUAAGCAGGGAAGAAUAAGUCCGGGGUAAUAUUCCGGAUGAUGACGGUACCUGCCUAAAGCCCCGGCUAACUACGUGCCAGCAGCCGCGGUAAUACGUAUGGGGCAAGCGUUGUUCGGAAUUAUUGGGCGUAAAGGGCGCCUAGGCGGGGGACUAAGUUAGUUGUGAAAGCUAUGGGCUCAACCCAUAAAUUGCAUCUAAGACUGGUUCUCUUGAGUUCGGGAGAGGAGAGCGGAAUUCCAGGUGUAGCGGUGAAAUGCGUAGAUAUCUGGAAGAACACCAGUGGCGAAGGCGGCUCUCUGGCCUAGGACUGACGCUGAAGCGCGAAAGCGUGGGGAGCGAAC